This 433-nucleotide ribosomal RNA is filed under the name uncultured bacterium. RNAcentral's name for it is "partial 16S ribosomal RNA". It matches the Rfam family "Bacterial small subunit ribosomal RNA", at positions 28 to 507 of the family's 1533-position model. The record is from RNAcentral.
AACGAACGCUGGCGGCAUGCCUAACACAUGCAAGUCGAACGAGACGGUCGGGUCUAGGGGCGCACGGCGGCGUAAGGCGGGGGAACCUGCCCUUAGGUUCGGAAUAACUCCCCGAAGGGGGUGCUAAUACCGGUUAAGGUCUUCGGACCAACGAUUUAUCGCCGUUGGAUGGGCCCGUGUUGGCUUAGUUGGUUGGUAGGGUAAAAGCCUACCAAGGCGACGAUGCAUGGCUGGUCUGGGAGGAUGCCCCGCCACACUGGGACUGCGACACGGCCCAGUCUGCUACGGGAGGGUGCAGUGGGUAGUAUUGGACACUGGGCCAUAGUCUGAUCCCGCAAUGCGGCGUGAGUGGUGAAGGCCUUUGGGUUGUAAUGCUCUUUUACCCGGGGUGAUAGUGACAGUACCGGGAGAAUAAGCACCGGCUAACUCCGUG